AACGAACGCUGGCGGCAUGCCUAACACAUGCAAGUCGAACGAGACCUUCGGGUUUAGUGGCGCACGGGUGCGUAACGCGUGGGAAACUGCCCUUAGGUUCGGAAUAACUCCCCGAAAGGGGUGCUAAUACCGGAUAAUGUCUUCGGACCAAAGAUUUAGCGACGUUGGAUGGGCCCGCGUUGGAUUAGCUAGUUGGUAGGGUAAAAGCCUACGAAGGCGACGAUCCAUAGCUGGUCUGAGAGGAUGAUCAGCCACACUGGGACUGAGACACGGCCCAGACUCCUACGGGAGGCAGCAGUGGGGAAUAUUGGAAAAUGGGCGGAAGCCUGAUCCAGCAAUGCCGCGUGAGUGAUGAAGGCCUUAGGGUUGUAAAGCUCUUUUACCCGGGAUGAUAAUGACGGUACCGGGAGAAUAAGCUCCGGCUAACUCCGUG
Molecule: ribosomal RNA, 433 nt
Filed under: uncultured bacterium
Lineage: Bacteria
Description: partial 16S ribosomal RNA
Rfam family: Bacterial small subunit ribosomal RNA
Source: RNAcentral